Molecule: ribosomal RNA, 253 nt
Filed under: uncultured bacterium
Lineage: Bacteria
Description: partial 16S ribosomal RNA
Rfam family: Bacterial small subunit ribosomal RNA
Source: RNAcentral
UACAGAGGUCCCAAGCGUUGUUCGGAUUCACUGGGCGUAAAGGGUGCGUAGGCGGUCGGGUAAGUCUGACGUGAAAUCUUCAAGCUUAACUUGGAAACUGCGUCGGAUACUAUUCGGCUAGAGGAAUGGAGGGGAGACUGGAAUACUUGCUGUAGCAGUGAAAUGCGUAGAUAUCAAGUGGAACACCAGUGGCGAAGGCGAGUCUCUGGACAUUUCCUGACGCUGAGGCACGAAAGCCAGGGGAGCAAACGGG